AUAAUUUCAAAGAUGUGAUUAUUUUCUAUCUUUCUAUGUCUCAGGCAAUGGCUGUACCAUCCAUUCAGCUGAACAAAUCAGAUUCCUAGAAUUGUCCUCGACAUGCCAUUUUUGCUUAGACUGACAUUUCUAUGACUAUUAAGUCAGAAGAAAACAACUUGAUCUUUCUUUAU
RNAcentral lists this long non-coding RNA (173 nucleotides) under Bos indicus x Bos taurus (hybrid cattle). RNAcentral describes it as "lncRNA (ENSBIXG00000024325.1)". The record is from RNAcentral. Lineage: Eukaryota; Metazoa; Chordata; Mammalia; Artiodactyla; Bovidae.